This 1373-nucleotide ribosomal RNA is filed under the name uncultured Gammaproteobacteria bacterium. Its description in RNAcentral is "uncultured gamma proteobacterium 16S ribosomal RNA". It matches the Rfam family "Bacterial small subunit ribosomal RNA", at positions 30 to 1393 of the family's 1533-position model. Lineage: Bacteria; Pseudomonadati; Pseudomonadota; Gammaproteobacteria. The record is from RNAcentral.
UGAACGCUGGCGGCAGGCCUAACACAUGCAAGUCGAACGGUAACAGGAAGAAGCUUGCUUCUUUGCUGACGAGUGGCGGACGGGUGAGUAAUGUCUGGGAAACUGCCUGAUGGAGGGGGAUAACUACUGGAAACGGUAGCUAAUACCGCAUAACGUCGCAAGACCAAAGAGGGGGACCUUAGGGCCUCUUGCCAUCGGAUGUGCCCAGAUGGGAUUAGCUAGUAGGUGGGGUAAAGGCUCACCUAGGCGACGAUCCCUAGCUGGUCUGAGAGGAUGACCAGCCACACUGGAACUGAGACACGGUCCAGACUCCUACGGGAGGCAGCAGUGGGGAAUAUUGCACAAUGGGCGCAAGCCUGAUGCAGCCAUGCCGCGUGUAUGAAGAAGGCCUUCGGGUUGUAAAGUACUUUCAGCGGGGAGGAAGGUGUUGUGGUUAAUAACCACAGCAAUUGACGUUACCCGCAGAAGAAGCACCGGCUAACUCCGUGCCAGCAGCCGCGGUAAUACGGAGGGUGCAAGCGUUAAUCGGAAUUACUGGGCGUAAAGCGCACGCAGGCGGUCUGUCAAGUCGGAUGUGAAAUCCCCGGGCUCAACCUGGGAACUGCAUUCGAAACUGGCAGGCUUGAGUCUCGUAGAGGGGGGUAGAAUUCCAGGUGUAGCGGUGAAAUGCGUAGAGAUCUGGAGGAAUACCGGUGGCGAAGGCGGCCCCCUGGACGAAGACUGACGCUCAGGUGCGAAAGCGUGGGGAGCAAACAGGAUUAGAUACCCUGGUAGUCCACGCCGUAAACGAUGUCUAUUUGGAGGUUGUGCCCUUGAGGUGUGGCUUCCGGAGCUAACGCGUUAAAUAGACCGCCUGGGGAGUACGGCCGCAAGGUUAAAACUCAAAUGAAUUGACGGGGGCCCGCACAAGCGGUGGAGCAUGUGGUUUAAUUCGAUGCAACGCGAAGAACCUUACCUGGUCUUGACAUCCACAGAACUUUCCAGAGAUGGAGGGGUGCCUUCGGGAACUGUGAGACAGGUGCUGCAUGGCUGUCGUCAGCUCGUGUUGUGAAAUGUUGGGUUAAGUCCCGCAACGAGCGCAACCCUUAUCCUUUGUUGCCAGCGGUUAGGCCGGGAACUCAAAGGAGACUGCCAGUGAUAAACUGGAGGAAGGUGGGGAUGGCGUCAAGUCAUCAUGGCCCUUACGACCAGGGCUACACACGUGCUACAAUGGCGCAUACAAAGAGAAGCGAACUCGCGAGAGCAAGCGGACCUCAUAAAGUGCGUCGUAGUCCGGACUGGAGUCUGCAACUCGACUCCAUGAAGUCGGAAUCGCUAGUAAUCGUGGAUCAGAAUGCCACGGUGAAUACGUUCCCGGGCCUUGUACACACCGC